AAUUACCAUUAGCAGUUGAAGUGGUAGGAAAUUUUUACAUAGGAGAGUAUGGUGAUCAUAUUUGCAUUUUAGAAAAUAAUGGAUAGCAGUUUGUUAGGGGAACAAAGGACAGAGACAGGGAGACUAUUUAAAACAUUAAUAAAAAAUACCAGUGACAGAUGAUGAGGCACCUACCUGAUGGGAAUGGAGAAGAGGAGAUGGAUUCAGAAACUACUUAGGAGAGGCAGGCAGUCCAAGGCUGAUGCCCAAAGAAGCCAUCAAGACCCGUGCUACUUCCAGCUCCUUCUGUCCUCAUAAUCAUAGAUGAUUGCUCCACAUCCAGGGUGGAAUGCAAUGGUAUGAACACAAGGCUCACUACAACCUCUACCUCCUGGGCUCAAGCGAUCCUCUCACCACAGCCUCCUGAGUAGCUAGGACUACAGAGUCUCGCUCAGUUUCCAGGCUGGAGUGUAAUGGCGUGAUCUUGGCUCACUGCAACCUCUGCCUCCCAGCUUCAAGUGAUUCCCCUGCUUUAGCCUCCCAAGCAGCUGGGACUACAGGCAUGCACCAGCAUGGCCGGCUAAUUUUUUUUUGUAUUUUAGUACAGAUGGGGUUUAACCAUGUUGGCCAGGAUGAUCUUGAUCUCCUGACCUCGUGAUCUGCCCACCUCGGCCUCCCAAAGUGCUAGGAUUACAGGCGUGAGCCACCUUGCCCGGCCUUCUAUUCCUUUUUCUAAUGCAUUUGCCCCAGCUAUCUGUAUAGCCUGCAAUCUGGUAGAUGGACCACAGGGAAACCACUGCAGCAAACUAAAAGUGUCUAUCUCAGAUCCUUCCACCACCAUCAUUUCCAAAAUCACCGUCACUAUCUCCACCACCAUCACCUUUACCACCAUCACCACUAUCAUCCUCAUCCUUCCCAUCACCAUCUCCACUGCUAUCUCUCAACACCAUCAUCAUCACCACCACCACCAUCAUCACCAUGAGCACCACCUCUGUCGUCAUCAAAAAAGCACACAGUUCAGGCUGGCCUGUUGGAGGAUAACAGAUCAUGUGGAGCAGAGACGAGCUGGCCCACCUCAGGCCCUACCAGAGCAAUCAGCUUGCCAAACACGACAUACAUCAGCGAGGCCAUCCUAGACCAUCCAGCCCUAGCUGAGCCAGCCCAGACCAGAGACUCAUGAGAAACAGUAAAAUGUUCAUCAUUUUAAGCCACUAGAUUUUGUGGUGGUUUGUUAUACACCAAAAGCUAACUGAUACAGGGACCA
RNAcentral lists this long non-coding RNA (1243 nucleotides) under Homo sapiens (human). RNAcentral describes it as "uncharacterized LOC105374780, transcript variant 5 (LOC105374780)". Lineage: Eukaryota; Metazoa; Chordata; Mammalia; Primates; Hominidae. The record is from RNAcentral.